RNAcentral lists this transfer RNA (75 nucleotides) under freshwater metagenome. RNAcentral describes it as "tRNA-Lys". It matches the Rfam family "tRNA". Rfam says of the family: Transfer RNA (tRNA) molecules are approximately 80 nucleotides in length. Their secondary structure includes four short double-helical elements and three loops (D, anti-codon, and T loops). The record is from RNAcentral.
GCGCCGCUAGCUCAACUGGCAGAGCAGUGGACUCUUAAUCCGCGGGUUGGGGGUUCAAGUCCCUCGCGGCGUACC